GUACUACUUUCUCCGUACAACAAAAGAUGUCUCAACUUUGACUAAAUUUGAAUGCAUCUAUACACUAGGUCAUGUCUACAUACAUUCAAAUUUUGAUAAAUUUGAAACAUCUUUUGUUGGGCGGAGGGGUAGUUU
Non-coding RNA from Brachypodium distachyon (stiff brome), 135 nucleotides. NCBI's taxonomy places the organism in Eukaryota, Viridiplantae, Streptophyta, Magnoliopsida, Poales, Poaceae. The record is from Rfam.